This is a long non-coding RNA of Bicyclus anynana (squinting bush brown), 584 nucleotides long. RefSeq lists it as uncharacterized. The record is from RefSeq and is a predicted model, not a curated record. The transcript has 2 exons. Lineage: Eukaryota; Metazoa; Arthropoda; Insecta; Lepidoptera; Nymphalidae.
UAAAGUUUUAUGUUCAUGGCUUAUGUCAAAAACUUACGAUGGGUCUUGAGUCACCUUUGAUCGUAAAACGGACAAAUUGUGGAUGUCCAAAAUUCCAAAAUAAUUAUUUAUAUUUUAUUAAAUAUCUAAAAUUAAUAUUUUUUUCCAUUCUAAAUCUCUCAAUUCAGUCUCUCCGUCCACAGUUAGCAUUUUUAGGACGAAACUUUGCGAAGUGUUUUGUUUGUAAACAAUGAACUCUGUUAAAAAGAGUAAUAAAUAAUAUAUUCUUUGCAAUGAACCUAUAAAGUCAAAACAAUGAAGUUAAUUGAGUGCUAUUAAUCGAUUUAUAUAGGAUGCUGAGACUUGGACUCUGAGAGAAAGAUAUUUGGAAUAUGCCCUAUAACUGCAGACUCCAAUAUUGCAAAAAGCACCUGCAAUACAGUGGAAUAACAUAUUGGUGUGCUGAAGAAAAGAUGGCAAAGGCUUUUAGCUGAUAGGACAUUUGUACUGAUGACCCUGUUAUCUGGUCAAAUCAUGUGUGUGUAUUAUCAAAAUAUUUGUAUUUGUAUAUUUGAUAUUUGAAAAUAAAAGAAUACUUACUUCGC